Molecule: non-coding RNA, 29 nt
Filed under: Mus musculus (house mouse)
Lineage: Eukaryota; Metazoa; Chordata; Mammalia; Rodentia; Muridae
Also listed under: 1 other name
Source: RNAcentral
UUAAAUGGGAGACGGAGCGAGCACGGCAA